CAGAGCCCUGUGAACUACUCCUGUUGUAAUCGGACAUAUUCAGACAUGAAAACCAGAACACAGAACUGUCAGCACUGAGGUCUCUGCAGUCUCAACUAUGUAAAGGGAGAAGAUGAUCUUCCUCAUCCUGCUGCUCCUCUUCCUCACCCCCUGUGUCUCUGGAAUAUUUGUAGUGAAUGUGACUCAGACUUCCUAUCAGGCAGAGGAGAACCAGAACAUCACCCUGGAGUGGACCUUCAGCACCAGAAGAGAAACUUCCCUCAGAUCCAUUUCUACCUUCUGUCAGUUGUUUACUGAAGGCAGGUACUCAGUCCUGUUUCAUCUCCAUCAAGGUGUUGAAUCCCCAGAGUCUCAGGAUCCACAGUUUGCAGGACGAGUCCAGUGGGACAAAGACGUCCUCACAGAAGGACAACUCACACUUCAUGUCUCCAGACUCAGGACCAAUGACUCUGGGUUUUAUGUGUGUGACAUACUCGUCAGACCUGAUGGGAGUAACUCUAGGAGAUGCUGGCUCAACGUCACUGCUGCGACACAUUGGAACAAACCUGAGACUCCCAACACAGGAGGAAACAAACCUGAGACUCCCAACACAGGAAGACGGGGAAGGAUUGGCCUCUACUUUGAGAUUGCACUGGUUUCUGUUCUACUUGCUCUGUGUGUCCGUGUGCUUCUUAACUUCAGACGACAAGCAGCCAGUGAAGAAGGUUCAGACUCAGCGAGUGGACCAACAGAAGCUCUUUGACACUAUGUGUUACAUUAAUGCAAAUAUGAAUAUUGCACAAUACUGACUCUUUGAAAUCUGCAACACUCUGACACUUCACUUCGGGUACUGUACAUCUUAUCUUUCUUUCAUUAAGAGAUAAACUAAAAUGACCAAAUGUGAUUUCUGAGAGGCGUUGAAUCCCCAGAGUCUCAGGAUCCAGAGUUUGCAGGACGAGUCCAGUGGGACAAAGACGUCCUCACAGAAGGACGCCUCACACUUCAUGUCUCCAGACUCAGGACCAGUGACUCAGGACUUUAUGUCUGUAAAGUGUUCACUGAUUAUGGACGGAACAAUGGGAGAUGCUGGCUGAAUGUGACUGCUGCUGAAGAGCUCGAACCUCAGAGACCAUCAGAGAGUCCUCAAGCAGAGAGUCCGAGAAGACUCUGGCUUAUCGUUGUGAUAACAACUCUGAUUCUCUUUGUCGUCAGCAUGGCCUGCAUUGUUUUAAUACGAUUUAAGAGAAGAACCUACAAUGCAGCCAUACAGAUGGAGAGUUCAUCAGAGGAACAAACCAUCAGGACUAACAUGUCUCCGUCUGAAUCUGAGCAUGAAGUGAGACUCUCCAACAUCUGAUUCAAGAGUCAGAAAAGAGCAGUGUAACCUCUGUAAAGUGUAUUUUUAUACUUAUUUAUUUCAGUCAUCACUGUGAGUUUUAUCAUUCAGCUGUAAGGUCAUCAAUCUGUUCUCUGUUUACUGAUGGAUAUUGUUACCAUGCUCUGCCUUUAAAGUACAUUUCUAAUGUCACAUAUUGGGAAUCAAUCCCUUUUUCUAUGAGAGAAAUCAUGACAUUGUUAGAGGGAAAUGUAAAUAACAACACUACACGCCAGAGGACAAAAACAAUACAACUGUAAAUAAUCUUAA
RNA transcript from Gymnodraco acuticeps, 1624 nucleotides. It is a transcript of the gene named myelin-oligodendrocyte glycoprotein-like, with no coding region annotated. The record is from RefSeq and is a predicted model, not a curated record. Lineage: Eukaryota; Metazoa; Chordata; Actinopteri; Perciformes; Bathydraconidae. The transcript is spliced from 5 exons.